AUGUCAGUCUCCUGGCCCCGACCUCCAGGCAGUACCAGGGCAGCUCCAGGGCAGCACCAGGGCAGCUCCAGGCAGUACCAGGGCAGCUCCAGGCAGCACCAGGGCAGCUCCAGGCAGCACCAGGGCAGCUCCAGGCAGUACCAGGGCAGCACCAGGCAGCACCAGGGCAGCUCCAAGGCAGCACCAGGGCAGCUCCAGGCAGCACCAGGGCAGCUCCAGGCAGCACUGGGGCAGCACCAGGGCAGCUCCAAGGCAGCUCCAGGGCAGCUCCAAGCAGUACCAGGGCAGCUCCAGGCAGCACCAGGGCAGCUCCUGGCAGCACCAGGGCAGCUCCAGGCAGUACCAGGGCAGCACCAGGCAGCACCAGAGCAGCUCCAGGGCAGCACCAGGGCAGCUCCAGGCAGCACCGGGGCAGCACCAGGGCAGCUCCAAGGCAGCUCCAGGGCAGCUCCAGGCAGUACCAGGGCAGCUCCAGGCAGCACCAGGGCAGCUCCAGGCAGCACCAGGGCAGCACCAGGCAGCACCAGAGCAGCUCCAGGGCAGCACCAGGGCAGCUCCAGGCAGCACCAGGGCAGCUCCAGGCAGCACCGGGGCAGUACCAGGGCAGCUCCAGGUAGCACCAGGGCAGCUCCAGGCAGCACCGGGGCAGCACCAGGGCAGCUCCAAGGCAGCUCCAGGGCAGCUCCAAGCAGUACCAGGGCAGCUCCAGGCAGCACCAGGGCAGCUCCAGGCAGUACCAGGGCAGCACCAGAGCAGCUCCAGGGCAGCACCAGGGCAGCUCCAGGCAGCACCAGGGCAGCUCCAGGCAGUACCAGGGCAGCUCCAGGGCAGCUCCAAGGCAGCUCCAGGGCAGCUCCAGGCAGCACCAGGGCAGCUCCAGGGCAGCUCCAGGACAGCUCCAGGGCAGCACCAGGCAGCACAGUCCGCACAUCUCAGCGGCAGCCGAGGCACCGCAGGAUGCUCAGCAUCCCUGACCUCUCGUGUUUACAUCAAGCACCUAGUGACUCCUACACUGUCGCACCUGGGCGUUUAAGGGGUGGCCUGAUGCUCGCCCAUGGCUCCAACCCUCCCCUCCCCCCGCUAUUGUCGCAGCAAGCCCGGUGCCUUGCCUGUGCUGCUGGGAGGUCAGUGCAGGGAAGCACGUGCGGAACCACCCGUCCUGAGAGUACCGCGCGGCCGGUAGAUGGAGAAGCACGCAGCCGGGCUCAGAGCCGGGCAUCGCUCAGUGGGUGA
Molecule: long non-coding RNA, 1233 nt
Filed under: Canis lupus familiaris (dog)
Lineage: Eukaryota; Metazoa; Chordata; Mammalia; Carnivora; Canidae
Description: lncRNA (ENSCAFG00030007776.1)
Source: RNAcentral